CAGCGCCGCGGUAAUACGAAGGGGGCUAGCGUUGCUCGGAAUGACUGGGCGUAAAGGGCGCGUAGGCGGAUUGUUUAGUUAGGCGUGAAAUUCCUGGGCUUAACCUGGGGACUGCGCUUAAUACAGGCAGUCUAGAGUGAGGAAGAGGGUUGUGGAAUUCCCAGUGUAGAGGUGAAAUUCGUAGAUAUUGGGAAGAACACCGGUGGCGAAGGCGGCAACCUGGUCCUCGACUGACGCUGAGGCGCGAAAGCGUGGGGAGCAAACAGGAUUAGAUACCCCAGUAGUCCCUGUCUCUUAUACC
RNAcentral lists this ribosomal RNA (301 nucleotides) under uncultured bacterium. Its description in RNAcentral is "partial 16S ribosomal RNA". It matches the Rfam family "Bacterial small subunit ribosomal RNA", at positions 509 to 808 of the family's 1533-position model. The record is from RNAcentral.